RNAcentral lists this transfer RNA (72 nucleotides) under Ornithorhynchus anatinus (platypus). It matches the Rfam family "tRNA". Rfam says of the family: Transfer RNA (tRNA) molecules are approximately 80 nucleotides in length. The record is from Rfam by way of RNAcentral. Lineage: Eukaryota; Metazoa; Chordata; Mammalia; Monotremata; Ornithorhynchidae.
AGCAGCGUGGCUCAGUGGAAAGAGCAUGGGCUUUGGAGUCAGAGGUCAUGGGUUCAAAUCCCAACUCGGCCA